CUGGGCUACACGCGGGCUACAAUGGGUGGGACAAUGGGUAUCGACACCGAAAGGUGAAGGCCAAUCUCCUAAACCCAUCUGUAGUUCGGAUUGUGGGCUGCAACUCGCCCACAUGAAGCUGGAAUCUGUAGUAAUCGUGUCUCAAAAUGGCACGGUGAAUAUGUCCCUGCUCCUU
This 175-nucleotide ribosomal RNA is filed under the name uncultured Methanomicrobiales archaeon. Its description in RNAcentral is "partial 16S ribosomal RNA". It matches the Rfam family "Archaeal small subunit ribosomal RNA", at positions 1165 to 1338 of the family's 1478-position model. Lineage: Archaea; Methanobacteriati; Methanobacteriota; Methanomicrobia; Methanomicrobiales. The record is from RNAcentral.